GAUGAACGCUGGCGGCGUGCCUAAUACAUGCAAGUCGAGCGAACGGACGAGAAGCUUGCUUUUCUGAUGUUAGCGGCGGACGGGUGAGUAACACGUGGAUAACCUACCUAUAAGACUGGGAUAACUUCGGGAAACCGGAGCUAAUACCGGAUAAUAUUUUGAACCGCAUGGUUCAAAAGUGAAAGACGGUCUUGCUGUCACUUAUAGAUGGAUCCGCGCUGCAUUAGCUAGUUGGUAAGGUAACGGCUUACCAAGGCAACGAUGCAUAGCCGACCUGAGAGGGUGAUCGGCCACACUGGAACUGAGACACGGUCCAGACUCCUACGGGAGGCAGCAGUAGGGAAUCUUCCGCAAUGGGCGAAAGCCUGACGGAGCAACGCCGCGUGAGUGAUGAAGGUCUUCGGAUCGUAAAACUCUGUUAUUAGGGAAGAACAUAUGUGUAAGUAACUGUGCACAUCUUGACGGUACCUAAUCAGAAAGCCACGGCUAACUACGUGCCAGCAGCCGCGGUAAUACGUAGGUGGCAAGCGUUAUCCGGAAUUAUUGGGCGUAAAGCGCGCGUAGGCGGUUUUUUAAGUCUGAUGUGAAAGCCCACGGCUCAACCGUGGAGGGUCAUUGGAAACUGGAAAACUUGAGUGCAGAAGAGGAAAGUGGAAUUCCAUGUGUAGCGGUGAAAUGCGCAGAGAUAUGGAGGAACACCAGUGGCAAAGGCGACUUUCUGGUCUGUAACUGACGCUGAUGUGCGAAAGCGUGGGGAUCAAACAGGAUUAGAUACCCUGGUAGUCCACGCCGUAAACGAUGAGUGCUAAGUGUUAGGGGGUUUCCGCCCCUUAGUGCUGCAGCUAACGCAUUAAGCACUCCGCCUGGGGAGUACGACCGCAAGGUUGAAACUCAAAGGAAUUGACGGGGACCCGCACAAGCGGUGGAGCAUGUGGUUUAAUUCGAAGCAACGCGAAGAACCUUACCAAAUCUUGACAUCCUUUGACAACUCUAGAGAUAGAGCCUUCCCCUUCGGGGGACAAAGUGACAGGUGGUGCAUGGUUGUCGUCAGCUCGUGUCGUGAGAUGUUGGGUUAAGUCCCGCAACGAGCGCAACCCUUAAGCUUAGUUGCCAUCAUUAAGUUGGGCACUCUAAGUUGACUGCCGGUGACAAACCGGAGGAAGGUGGGGAUGACGUCAAAUCAUCAUGCCCCUUAUGAUUUGGGCUACACACGUGCUACAAUGGACAAUACAAAGGGCAGCGAAACCGCGAGGUCAAGCAAAUCCCAUAAAGUUGUUCUCAGUUCGGAUUGUAGUCUGCAACUCGACUACAUGAAGCUGGAAUCGCUAGUAAUCGUAGAUCAGCAUGCUACGGUGAAUACGUUCCCGGGUCU
Molecule: ribosomal RNA, 1372 nt
Filed under: uncultured bacterium
Lineage: Bacteria
Description: bacterial SSU rRNA
Rfam family: Bacterial small subunit ribosomal RNA
Source: RNAcentral